RNAcentral lists this ribosomal RNA (498 nucleotides) under uncultured bacterium. RNAcentral describes it as "bacterial SSU rRNA". It matches the Rfam family "Bacterial small subunit ribosomal RNA", at positions 31 to 518 of the family's 1533-position model. The record is from RNAcentral.
GAACGCUGGCGGCAGGCCUAACACAUGCAAGUCGAACGGUAACAGGAAGCAGCUUGCUGCUUCGCUGACGAGUGGCGGACGGGUGAGUAAUGUCUGGGAAACUGCCUGAUGAGGGGGAUAACUACUGGAAACGGUAGCUAAUACCGCAUAACGUCGCAAGACCAAAGAGGGGGACCUUCGGGCCUCUUGCCAUCAGAUGUGCCCAGAUGGGAUUAGCUUGUUGGUGGGGUAACGGCUCACCAAGGCGACGAUCCCUAGCUGGUCUGAGAGGAUGACCCAGCCACACUGGAACUGAGACACGGUCCAGACUCCUACGGGAGGCAGCAGUGGGGAAUAUUGCACAAUGGGCGCAAGCCUGAUGCAGCCAUGCCGCGUGUAUGAAGAAGGCCUUCGGGUUGUAAAGUACUUUCAGCGGGGAGGAAGGUGUUGUGGUUAAUAACCGCAGCAAUUGACGUUACCCGCAGAAGAAGCACCGGCUAACUCCGUGCCAGCCGCUGC